AUGGCGAGCCUGUCGGACUCUGGCGGCGGCCGGUCUGGCGCGGAGCUGAUGGUGCCGCAGUUCCACCUCAAGGCGCUGCACGCCAUCCUCGCCGCGCGCGCGCCGCGCCCGAUCGCGCCGGCGCCGGCGUCGGCGUCGGCGGCGGUGCGGAGGCGGGACAGGUGGUUCCACCUGCCGCUCCACGCGCCGCCCGCGGCGGAGCACGUCCCGGAGCCGGCCCUCGGGGAGCCGGUCGUGGUGGACGUGUACCUGGCCCCGUCGGCCGGCGCCAGGGAGGAGGAGGAGGUGGUGGAGAGGUGGACGGUGGCGUGCGAGCCCUGGGCGCCGGGGGAGAGGGCGGCCGCCGAGGCGGGGGAAGGGCUGGCCGUCAACAGGGCCUACAAGCGCUGCAUCACGCUGCUCAGGUCGCUCUACACCACGCUCCGCCUCCUCCCGGCGUACCGCGUCUUCCGCACGCUCUGCGCCUCCGGCCAGGGCUACAACUACGAGAUGGGCUACCGCGUCGGCUCCUUCGCCGCCCCCUUCUCCCGCGCCGACGAGGCGGCCAUGCGCACCCGCGGCUUCCCCCCCGUCGAGACCCACCUCGGCCGCCUGGUCGUGUCCGUCCAGUACCUCCCCACCCUCGCCGCCUACAACUUCGAGAUCACGUCUCUCUCCUCCGCCAUGCUCAUCACCGAUUACGUCGGGAGCCCGGCAGCGGAGCCUAUGCGCUCCUUCCCGUCGUCGCUCACGGAGCCUGCCAGCUCGGCCUUGCCGCUGCCCUCACGGCGCCCCAACAGCUGGGCGUCGCCUGCUGGUGCCUACUGGCCACAGUCGCCCGGGCAGCACGCCAAGUUCUCGCCGCCCCCAACGCUGUACGCGUCUCCCACGCCAUCUCCUCCCACGUUCGGUGGCGGCUACCUGCAGUCGCGGCUGAGCGGGGAGACCGCACCAAUGAGCAUACCGCAAGCGGGCGGAGGGAGGGGCCCUGUCCAGUAUCGGAACAUGUCCGAUCCCAGCAGGGGGUUCAUGCUGCCUCCACCUUCACCCAAGAGCGUGCGAGGGGAGGCACGGUCACACGAGUCACUCACAGAGAGCGGCCGCUCAUCCCGGAAGGCAGAGGGGCUCCGGAUGGCCGAUCUCUACGCUAACUUGCCUGCUGCUCCAAAGACUAAGGACAGUAGGGAGGAAUCUGGUAGGUUCUCAGGUGUUUUCUCCUCUAGUGGUUCUCCACGACACGGGAUUUCAAGGAGUUCAAGCAGACUGUCUACGCAAGAUGAUACUGAUGAUGCAUAUCUUCCUUUUGCUGUGGAUGAUGUCGAUGCACCUGAUUCCAGACCUGGGAGCAGUGGUGGUAGGGGGGACCAGUCGGGUACGUCCUCCCAUAAAUCGCAAGAUGCUGCUGUUGGCUAUCUUGUCCAUCUGCUGAGGUCUGCACGUCCGUUGCGAGAUCCUAGCAAUUCAUCUGUGACAUCAAGGGCCGAAUCUACCGAAGCAGGCAACACCAGCUCGUUCAUGUCCCGUAGAACAUCUGAUGCAUUCGAGGAGCUUGAAUCUUUCAAAGACAUAAAGGAGAACCUGCUCUCCCGUAGUAGAUCUAGAAUGCAAGAUUCAUUCGAUAGAUCCUAA
This 1608-nucleotide ribosomal RNA is filed under the name Triticum aestivum (bread wheat). Its description in RNAcentral is "partial small subunit ribosomal RNA". Lineage: Eukaryota; Viridiplantae; Streptophyta; Magnoliopsida; Poales; Poaceae. The record is from RNAcentral.